GACGAACGCUGGCGGCGUGCUUAACACAUGCAAGUCGAAUGGAAAGGCCCUGCUUUUGUGGGGUGCUCGAGUGGCGAACGGGUGAGUAACACGUGAGUAACCUGCCCUUGACUUUGGGAUAACUUCAGGAAACUGGGGCUAAUACCGGAUAGGAGCUCCUGCUGCAUGGUGGGGGUUGGAAAGUUUCGGCGGUUGGGGAUGGACUCGCGGCUUAUCAGCUUGUUGGUGGGGUAGUGGCUUACCAAGGCUUUGACGGGUAGCCGGCCUGAGAGGGUGACCGGCCACAUUGGGACUGAGAUACGGCCCAGACUCCUACGGGAGGCAGCAGUGGGGAAUAUUGCACAAUGGGCGGAAGCCUGAUGCAGCAACGCCGCGUGCGGGAUGACGGCCUUCGGGUUGUAAACCGCUUUCGCCUGUGGCGAAGCGUGAGUGACGGUAAUGGGUAAAGAAGCACCGGCUAACUACGUG
This 468-nucleotide ribosomal RNA is filed under the name uncultured bacterium. RNAcentral describes it as "partial 16S ribosomal RNA". It matches the Rfam family "Bacterial small subunit ribosomal RNA", at positions 28 to 507 of the family's 1533-position model. The record is from RNAcentral.